CCGGAUUUAUUGGGUUUAAAGGGUGCGUAGGCGGGACUGUAAGUCAGGGGUGAAAUACUGCAGCUUAACUGUAGCAUUGCCUUUGAAACUGCCGUUCUUGAGUACAGUUGAGGUAGGCGGAAUGUGGUGUGUAGCGGUGAAAUGCAUAGAUAUACCACAGAACACCGAUUGCGAAGGCAGCUUACUAAGCUGUUACUGACGCUGAGGCACGAAAGCGUGGGGAUCAAACAGGAUUAGAUACCCUGGUAGUCCACGCUGUAAACGAUGAUUACUGGUUGUUAGCGAUAUAUAGCUAGUGACUGAGCGAAAGCAUUAAGUAAUCCACCUGGGGAGUACGUCGGCAACGAUGAAACUCAAAGGAAUUGACGGGGGCCCGCACAAGCGGAGGAACAUGUGGUUUAAUUCGAUGAUACGCGAGGAACCUUACC
RNAcentral lists this ribosomal RNA (428 nucleotides) under uncultured Bacteroidota bacterium. RNAcentral describes it as "bacterial SSU rRNA". It matches the Rfam family "Bacterial small subunit ribosomal RNA", at positions 545 to 975 of the family's 1533-position model. The record is from RNAcentral. Lineage: Bacteria; Pseudomonadati; Bacteroidota.